GAUGGCUAUGUACGAUAGUGUUUCUUCCUUUUCAAAUUCAUUAAGCUAGCACAACACAACCUCAAGCAAUCGAGUUCUCCAAAGUCCUCUAUCUAUCGAAUCCUCGGACGCACUGGCAGUUCCACUGUUUGUUUCCUCAGAAAAUGGGCCCUUGCAAAAUUAUUUUCUGGAUGUCUACAAAAAGGUGUUUUGAUUGAGCUGCUGCCAGGGUUCUGUUUGUUUGCUCUGCUGAUGAAUUCUUUUGAGUUUUCCAAGCUUCAUCCUUUUCUGGGGGGAAAAGUUAUUGUUUUUGCCCUCUCUGAAUUAGUUUCUAGGCUUUGCCACUGCAUGUGUUGCUCCUGACCAACAAGGCCACGCAAAAGCAUGAUUGAUGAGACCGACUUCGUGUCGGGUUACCUCUACCGAUCCCGUGACCCGUGACUACUGCUCUUAUUGAUCUGAAAUGUGAAAUUUGACUAGAAUCAAAUAA
Molecule: long non-coding RNA, 469 nt
Organism: Camellia sinensis
Lineage: Eukaryota; Viridiplantae; Streptophyta; Magnoliopsida; Ericales; Theaceae
Source: RefSeq, a predicted model, not a curated record